UUAGUUAACAUGCAUAGUAAACUUUGACCUUUCAGAAGAUACUCUAAGUAAGCCAAUGGCAAGGUCUUUUGAGAUUAAGUACAUACUAGCAUGAGUUGAUUUUAUAUGCCAAAGAUGGUUUCUUUAAUCUUGGUAUUCAUAGUGCAUAUAUUCAAAGGUAUACCAAGUACACAUUUUCAUAUCUAUGAUUGAUAAACAAUAAU
This 203-nucleotide long non-coding RNA is filed under the name Phoenix dactylifera (date palm). RNAcentral's name for it is "long non-coding RNA (PDAC_LNC010858)". Lineage: Eukaryota; Viridiplantae; Streptophyta; Magnoliopsida; Arecales; Arecaceae. The record is from RNAcentral.